Molecule: long non-coding RNA, 795 nt
Filed under: Olea europaea subsp. europaea
Lineage: Eukaryota; Viridiplantae; Streptophyta; Magnoliopsida; Lamiales; Oleaceae
Source: RNAcentral
GUAAAAUCGUAUUUUUACUAAAAAAUUGAUGAAAGUGACCUUUUGCAUAAUGAAAUAUGGAAACAGAGGUGAAAAUGCUAAAAAAAUUAAAGGUAUGAACGUUUUGCGCAAUAAUAUUGAAAGAUAGAUAUGUUUCGUGCUAUUUACCCAAUUCCAUUCAACUGAAAUAAGGGAAACAAUUCUCCUCAAAUUCCACUCAACAACUACUCAAAAUAAGAUAACAAUACUAAAGUUCCACAGAUGGAUAGGACAAAAUUUGCAGCAGCGUAUGCAAGCAUUUAUGUUCCUGAAAAAUUAAGAGAUAGGCUAAUGCAUGAAUAAAAUGAAAAAAAAAAAAGAUACUGAAGAACGAACAAUUCACAAUAGCACUUCAACUGACAUAAUACCACAAAUAAAUAACUAAUUAAACCACAUAUUUUCCUUCCGAGUCGUAAUACCAUGUGUGAAGUAUGAUUUGAUGGACGCUUGAGGUGGGUCUUUGUUGUUUAAUAAUGGCUGAACUGUUGAGACGGCGAUGGCUUUGUCAAAUGGUCAAAUAUGGACAAUCGGUCGGAAUGAAAGAAAGCAUCGAAGGUAAAGCUUACCGGUGACAUGGUGCUUCAAAAUUCAAGAUUUCGUCGGAAAAUGGUGUUGUUAGUUUGGAGGGUUUGAAAAGGGGGAAAAUGAGGAGAGAGAUGGUUUUACCCGUAAAGAGUGUUUUCUUUUCUUUUAUUUUUUCCCUCCAUUUUCCAAGUCGCAUUGUAAGGCACAUUGUGAAGCCUAUUGUACGAGUAGUGGGGUCGCAGUAAAACGGGG